This 943-nucleotide ribosomal RNA is filed under the name uncultured bacterium. RNAcentral describes it as "bacterial SSU rRNA". It matches the Rfam family "Bacterial small subunit ribosomal RNA", at positions 8 to 945 of the family's 1533-position model. The record is from RNAcentral.
AGAGUUUGAUCAUGGCUCAGAUUGAACGCUGGCGGCGUGCCUAACACAUGCAAGUCGAGCGGUAACAGGUGUAGCAAUACAUGCUGACGAGCGGCGGACGGGUGAGCAAUAUUUGGGAAUCUGCCUAUUAGUGGGGGACAACCCGGGGAAACUCGGGCUAAUACCGCAUACGCACUACGGUGGAAAGCCGGGGACCGCAAGGCCUGGCGCUAAUAGAUGAGCCCAAAUCGGAUUAGCUAGUUGGUGAGGUAACGGCUCACCAAGGCGACGAUCCGUAGCUGGUCUGAGAGGACGACCAGCCACACCGGAACUGAGACACGGUCCGGACUCCUACGGGAGGCAGCAGUGGGGAAUAUUGGACAAUGGGCGAAAGCCUGAUCCAGCGACGCCGCGUGGGUGAAGAAGGCCUGCGGGUUGUAAAGCCCUUUCGGUGGGGAUGAAAAGCCUCGACCUAACACGUCGGGGUCUUGACCUAACCCAAGAAAGAAGCACCGGCUAACUCUGUGCCAGCAGCCGCGGUAAUACAGAGGGUGCGAGCGUUAAUCGGAAUUACUGGGCGUAAAGCGCACGUAGGUGGCUUUGCAAGUCGGAUGUGAAAUCCCCGGGCUUAACCUGGGAACUGCAUUCGAGACUGCAUUGCUAGAGUAUGGGAGAGGGAAGUGGAAUUUCCGGUGUAGCGGUGAAAUGCGUAGAUAUCGGAAGGAACAUCAGUGGCGAAGGCGACUUCCUGGACCAAUACUGACACUCAAGUGCGAAAGCGUGGGGAGCAAACAGGAUUAGAUACCCUGGUAGUCCACGCCAUAAACGAUGAGAACUGGAUGUCGGGAGGGUCUGCCUCUCGGUGUCGUAGCUAACGCGUUAAGUUCUCCGCCUGGGGAGUACGGCCGCAAGGUUGAAACUCAAAUGAAUUGACGGGACCCGCACAAGCGGUGGAGCAUGGUGG